This 1508-nucleotide ribosomal RNA is filed under the name uncultured bacterium. RNAcentral's name for it is "16S ribosomal RNA". It matches the Rfam family "Bacterial small subunit ribosomal RNA". The record is from RNAcentral.
UGAGUUUGAUCCUGGCUCAGAUUGAACGCUGGUGGUAUGCUUUACACAUGCAAGUCAAACUUAAUUUACUUUUUAUUUUAUUUAAUAAAAGUGUUAAAUUUUAGUGGCGAACGGGUGAGUAAUACAUAGGAAUUUUCCAAUAAAAGGGGGAUAACUGUUUUAAUCUAUAGUUAAUACCGCAUAAUUUAUUAAAGAUUUUUUAUAAAAAUUAUCGUUUAUUGAUAAGCCUAUGUUGGAUUAGCUAGUUGGUAAGGUAAUAGCUUACCAAGGCUAUGAUCCAUAGCUGUUCUGAGAGGAAGAUCAGCCACAUUGGGACUGAGACACGGCCCAAACUCCUACGGGAGGCAGCAGUGGGGAAUAUUGGACAAUGAGGGAAACCUUGAUCCAGCAAUACCAUGUGUGUGAAGAAGGCUUUCGAGUUGUAAAACACUUUAAUUAGGGAAGAAGUAAAUAAAAUUAAUAAAAAUGUUUAUUGACGGUACCUAAAAAAUAAGUACCGGCUAACUCCGUGCCAGCAGCCGCGGUAAUACGGAGGGUACAAGCGUUAAUCGGAAUUACUGGGCGUAAAGAGUUCGUAGGCGGUAUAGUAAGUCAAUUAUAAAAUUUUUAAGCUUAACUUAAUUUCUGUAUUUGAUACUAUUAUUACUGGAGUUUAUUAGGGGAUUGUGGAAUUUUCGGUGUAGUAGUGAAAUGCGUAGAUAUCGAAAGGAACAUCAAUAGCGAAGGCAACAAUCUGGGUAUAAACUGACGCUGAGGAACGAAAGCAUGGGUAGCAAACAGGAUUAGAUACCCUGGUAGUCCAUGCUGUAAACGAUGAGUACUAGUUGUUAGAUUUGGUGUAAUAGAUUUAGUGACGAAGCUAACGCAUUAAGUACUCCGCCUGGGGAAUACGACCGCAAGGUUAAAACUCAAAGGAGUUGACGGGGACUCGUACAAGCGGUGGAGCAUGUGGUUUAAUUCGAUGCAACGCGAAAAACCUUACCUACCCUUGACAUCUAUAGAAGAACUAAGAAAUUAGUUUGUGCUUUUUAGAACUAUAAGACAGGUACUGCAUGGCUGUCGUCAGCUCGUGUUGUGAAAUGUUGGGUUAAGUCCCGCAACGAGCGUAACCCUUGUUUUUAUUUGCCAGCAUAUAACGAUGGGAACUAUAAAAAUACUGCCGUUGAUAAAACGGAGGAAGGUGAGGACGACGUCAAGUCAUUAUGGUCCUUAUGGGUAGGGCUACACACGUGCUACAAUGGAUAUUACAAAUAGAUGCAAUUAGGUAACUAUGAGCUAAUCUGCAAAAAAUAUUCUUAGUUCGGAUUAAUCUCUGCAACUCGAGAUUAUGAAGUAGGAAUCGCUAGUAAUCGCAAAUCAGCAUGUUGCGGUGAAUAUGUUCUCGGGUCUUGUACACACCGCCCGUCACACCAUGGAAGUGUGUCGCAAAAGAAGUAAGAAAUUAAACUUUUUUAUUAAAUUAGUUUUUACCACUUUGUGAUUCAUAACUGGGGUGAAGUCGUAACAAG